This is a long non-coding RNA of Oncorhynchus tshawytscha (Chinook salmon), 441 nucleotides long. NCBI's taxonomy places the organism in Eukaryota, Metazoa, Chordata, Actinopteri, Salmoniformes, Salmonidae. The record is from Ensembl.
AGGGUGAAGGUAGGGUGACCGCAGGGUGACAGCAGGGUGACAGUAGGGUACAAUGUAGGGUGACAGUAGGGUACAAGGUAGGGUGACAGUAGGGUAGAAGGAAGGGUGACAGUACGGUAUGAAGGUAGGGUGACAGUAGGGUAUGAAGGUAGGGUGACAGUAGGGUAGAAGGUAGGGUGACAGUAGGGUAUGAAGGUAGGGUGACAGUAGGGUUUGAAGGUAGGGUGACAGUAGGGUAUGUAGGUAGGGUGACAGUAGCGUAUGAAGGUAGGGUGACAGUAGGGUAUGUAGGUAGGGUGACAGUAGGGUAUGAAGGUAGGGUGACAGUAGGGUAUGUAGGUAGGGUGACAGUAGGGUAUGAAGGUAGGAUGACAGUAGGGUAUGUAGGUAGGGUGACCGUAGGGUAUGUAGGUACGGUGACAGUAGCAUAUGAAGGUAGGG